GAACCUUAAUCCUUCUAACCCCGUUUUCAGGAUUUUACAAUCCUAGUGAAGUAGGUUUAAAUGUUUAUGUUAUAAUUGAUUUGCAAUAGAAGUUAACUUUUAGGUGAUGAAGCAAUUAAAAUAUUGUUGAAUAUGGCAUACAUGUUCUAAUUAGCAUUAAUGACUUGGUUGGUGAAUAAUUCAUAGUAUGAAAUGUAAAUAUUAAUUGUUGUUUAAGUGUUUAAUGUCUUGAUAAGAAGUUGU
This 243-nucleotide long non-coding RNA is filed under the name Gossypium barbadense (sea-island cotton). RNAcentral's name for it is "long non-coding RNA (GBAR_LNC021030)". Lineage: Eukaryota; Viridiplantae; Streptophyta; Magnoliopsida; Malvales; Malvaceae. The record is from RNAcentral.